RNAcentral lists this ribosomal RNA (253 nucleotides) under uncultured bacterium. Its description in RNAcentral is "partial 16S ribosomal RNA". It matches the Rfam family "Bacterial small subunit ribosomal RNA", at positions 524 to 776 of the family's 1533-position model. The record is from RNAcentral.
UACGGAGGAGGCAAGCGUUAUCCGGAAUUAUUGGGCGUAAAGCGUCCGCAGGUGGCGAUUCAAGUCUGCUGUCAAAGCACGGGGCUUAACUCCGUUAAGGCAGUGGAAACUGAAUAGCUAGAGUGCCGUAGGGGUAGAGGGAAUUCCCGGUGUAGCGGUGAAAUGCGUAGAGAUCGGGAAGAACAUCGGUGGCGAAAGCGCUCUACUGGACGGCAACUGACACUCAGGGACGAAAGCUAGGGGAGCGAAUGGG